AGUCAAACUUGGUCAUUUAGAGGUCGUAAAAGUCGUAACAAGGUUUCCGUAGGUGAACCUG
This 61-nucleotide ribosomal RNA is filed under the name uncultured eukaryote. Its description in RNAcentral is "partial 18S ribosomal RNA". The record is from RNAcentral.